GGAGAGAUGGCUCAGCGGUUAAGAGCACUGACUGUUUUUACAGAGGUUCUGAGUUCAAUUCUCAGCCACCACA
Molecule: non-coding RNA, 73 nt
Organism: Mus musculus (house mouse)
Lineage: Eukaryota; Metazoa; Chordata; Mammalia; Rodentia; Muridae
Source: Rfam